Molecule: ribosomal RNA, 492 nt
Filed under: uncultured bacterium
Lineage: Bacteria
Description: partial 16S ribosomal RNA
Rfam family: Bacterial small subunit ribosomal RNA
Source: RNAcentral
AGUGAACGCUGGCGGUAGGCCUAACACAUGCAAGUCGAACGGCAGCACAGUAAGAGCUUGCUCUUACGGGUGGCGAGUGGCGGACGGGUGAGGAAUACAUCGGAAUCUACUUUUUCGUGGGGGAUAACGUAGGGAAACUUACGCUAAUACCGCAUACGACCUACGGGUGAAAGCAGGGGAUCUUCGGACCUUGCGCGAUUGAAUGAGCCGAUGUCGGAUUAGCUAGUUGGCGGGGUAAAGGCCCACCAAGGCGACGAUCCGUAGCUGGUCUGAGAGGAUGAUCGGCCACACUGGAACUGAGACACGGUCCAGACUCCUACGGGAGGCAGCAGUGGGGAAUGUUGGACAAUGGGCGCAAGCCUGAUCCAGCCAUACCGCGUGGGUGAAGGAGGCCUUCGGGUUGUAAAGCCCUUUUGUUGGGAAAGAAAAGCAGCAGGUUGAUACCCCGCUGUUCUGACGGUACCCAAAGAAUAAGCACCGGCUAACUUCGUG